UACAUAUGUAACAAACCUGCAUGUUGUGCACAUGUACCCUAGAACUUAAAGUAUAAUAAUAAUAAAAAAAGGAGUGAUUCUGUGUUGUAUGAGAAAGCUUGGAUUAAAUGUCUGUGUGAUGGUAUAUUAGCCAGCAUCCAGUCAGAAAAGAGGCUACUAUGAUUAUUUUUAACAUAGUGAAUUUAAUACCAGAGCUUUGUUAAACAGCUGUUGAAGUACUGAACAGGAAGAAAAAGAGAACUGUGAGGAAAUGUGUAGAUAGGAGCUGCAGCAAACAGCUACUGCUCUAGUGCUGGAGGAUCAAAAGGAGGGGGUUGGGAGAUACCAGAACCUAGAGGCUUGGAGCUGGGACCCAGAGCUGAGGAGGUGCUGCCCAGCUGGUAUUGGAACUUUGGAGAUCUGGAAUAAACCACUCUCCUAGUAACUUCGAGAAUCAAAUCAACAAGUGUGGGUUCCUACUGUCUGUGGUGUUGGAGUACUCUAUAUGGGUGUCAAUCAAUAAUGAUUCUUAAAACAGAAGUCAGGGAUUAUACCUUUGAAUAAUAAUACCUUUCCUACCUUUUAUUCUUGCUCUUACAUUGCCUAGAAUGAUGGGACUACUUAAGUCUAGGCAGAGUACGCUAAACCAUAUCUUGAAUUCCUUUCAGAAUGCUCUAUAGCAAAUGAAGCUGGUAUAUUUGAAAAGUGUUCAGAACAUUCCCAGAGAAAUAAUGCAAAGCAAGACCAUGACCUCCUUUUCAGAAUUUCUUUAUAGUCUCAAUUAUAUUUGAAAGAAUAAUGGUAGGUAAUACUUAGAUAAAACACUUAUGAUAUGGUAGAUGCUAUUUUAAGUACUUGAAAUUUUAAUUUUUUUAAUGAGACAUCUCAUUUAAGCUGUCCAAAAACCCAGUGGAGUGGGUAACAUUAUGCUGGUAGUUGUUGUUAUUAUUAUGAUUCCCCUUGUUUUACAGAUGAAAAACUAAGGUAUAAUUGAAAAAUUUUCACAAGGUCAUACAGCCUGUAAGUGGCAGAGCCAGGAUUUGAACCAGCCACUUUGGCUCUAGAGUACAUGCUUUUAAUCACUAAGCCAUACUGGCUCUGUGUGUGUGUGUGUGUGUGUGUGUGUGUGUAUGCAUAUAUAUAUAUAUAGACAUCUAUGUAUAUAUAUACACACAGGCACACACACACAUGUAUGUAUACACACACACACGUAUUUUUAUAAUCUGUUUCUUACUUAUCUGUGGAUGGAUGACUGGAUAGCAAAUCUAUUUAUUUCUUUAGCAAUGAUGUACCUAGUAGAAAUGUUGUCUUGGGGAUUAGGAGAAUAAGGCUUAAAAAACUCAAUCUUGGCACUAGCUUUGACAUUUUAAGAGACUAACAUUUGAAUCUUGACUCUUUGUAAAGUGAGGAAGUUGAAUGAAAUGACUUAAGAUAUUUCUUUCUACUUAUCAUUGUUUUAUGAUUUGUGAGGAUCCUGGUCACCUUUUAGGAACUGGGAGCUAGUGAUGAAACUUGAUUUUCAUAAUGAGUUAGCAAAGUUUCCUAACAUAUGCCAGACAUAGACUUGGUAGUGGUGGUGCUAUCGGUAGCUAAGUAGCUAGAGACUGUCAGGGACAAAGAGAUUAAAGACUUGUUUUAUUCAGAUAUUUGGGUACUGUGGGAUUGGCAAUUUCAAUUUCCAUUUUUGCUGUAUUAUCACUUUUUUCUGCAUCCAGAAAUUAAUCUUUUGAGGAACUGGCAAAGCACUACUUAGAAGCCAUUUCAUCUCAAGAUUUAGCCAUGAGAGGAUAGUCUUUUCUGGUAUCUUCACUUUACCCUAAAGGGCUAUCUACUCUCAAUUUAUAGAUGAUCUGUCUAUAAACUCAUCUUUGACCUGAAGACUGGAGACCUGGAGUCCAGAUACCAGAAAUUGCCCAGAAUAGUCCAGCAAAAACACUCCCAAAUUAGAAGAUGGAAGAUGUGAUGGUUUAGGAAACCCUGUGAGGUUAAGGAAGGGGACAUGGGCGUGUGUGGGAGUGGGUGUCUGCAGUGGAAACAGCUUUUCUUUUAUUCUCCAAGCAAUGACACUCACCUUUACACUCAUGCAUUCUCCAUUUUGCUUCCUGAUUCUUUUCUCAAACCAACAUUUUCCAAGUCUUGAUUUUUAGGAAAGAAUUGAGUCCAUGAAGUCUUUCCAUAAACGGGUUAUAUCACAGCAUGUAGCACUUAUCAGAAGGUCUGUAAAAUUUAUGGGUUUAUUUAGAGUCAAAAUGGAUUUCAAAUUAGGUUCUGAGAAUUGCCAAAUGUCAUAUUUGAUGUUUUCUUUGGUAAAUUUAGAAGAAAAGAAUAGCUUUGGCUCCUGUUCAGCAGUAAAGUUGAAUGCAGAUGCAUAGUUUGUUUUCCAAGUAACUUCUAAUCUUUAAUUGCAUCAGGAUAGCUUUUACUGUUUAUCCUAUUUUGCAGUAAAAUAACUAUGUAUCAUUGUCAUGGUGGAUGAUAUUCAUUCUGUACACAGUCAAGAAGCAUGAGGUUGCUAAGGCGAGUGUGUGUGUGUGUGUGUGUAUGUGCAUGCGCAUGCAUGUGUAAAAUGUAGGCCUAUAUUUGUGUAUGCUAAAGAGGAUGGGCAGUAAGAACCAGUGGUACCUUAAGAGGGAGCACAGGUGGUUUGUUCCUAAUUACAGGAGAAGAAAGAAACAAAGUCACUAUUGCAUCUCUGAACUCGUGGUGAUGGUUCUUUUGUCUGGAGCUGGUUUUGAAUUCAGCUGUAGGGUCUCAGAAAAUUUUCUUAGAGCCAUGUCAAACUGAGAGGGGUCCAUUGGAGGCACUUCAUCCAUCCUGCACAGUCAGAUACUGGAAGUUUGAGGCAAAUAAUUUUGUUUUUUUUCUUCAUGAGCCAGGUGGCUCAUUUUCCUGAUGACACAAAAAGUUAAGAAGCAGGGUGAGUGUGAGCCACCGCGCCUGGAUGAAGAUUAUUUCAUCAAGUAUUUCAGAGUCCACUGCUUGCUGUGUGAAUAGUAAGGCAAAGUAACUGCACUCAUCUUAUGUUCUAAUUAAAAUAGCAAAAGUGAGUAAAUACCUAUGAUGUAAUUUCUUGGGGAUUCAUAAGUGCUAUAGGGAGAAACAAAGCAGAAUAAUGGGUUUCAGAGGGAUGAGGAGAAUAUUGUAGAAAGGACAUUUAGGGAAAGCUUCUCUGAUUUGAGUGAAGAGUGUGGCAUCUGCAGACCUAAGGAAUAGUGUUCCCAGAAGAGAAAAAAAGCAAGUGCAUUAUGUCCUGAUUUGAUUCAGGUACAGCUAGGUCAUUUUGGUUUUUAUAGACUGAGAUAGGAAGUUCAGAGAUUUCAAAUGUGAUACAGACUCUUCCAAGGGUUUUAAGUAAAGAAUUAACAUGAUGUAACUUACAUUUUAAAAAAGGACAUCUUGUCACUGUGUUGAGAAUAGUCAGGAUGGGAAAGCAAGAAUGAAAACAAGAAAACCAGUUAGGUUACUGUAGCAGCCCUGGGGAGAGAGAUGGUGGGUUUAGAUUCAGAGUAGGUUUUGAAGGUAGAGUCAAUGGGACUUGCUGAGGAUUGGUUGUACAGCAAUAAGAAACAGGAGAAUCAGUGAAUACCUCUAGGUGUUUGGUUUGAACACGUAGUGAAUGGCAAUACCAUUUCCUGAGAUGGAGAAAUCUGGGAUUGGGGGUCAGAGAUCAGGUUUCUGUUCUGAAAAUAUUGUAUUUGAAAUACCUGUUAGUUCUUCAAGUGGGGAUGUUGAGUACAUGGUUGGCUAUACAAAUCCGGAGCUCUGGAGUGAAGUGGGAGAUAGAGAUAGAAAUAUAGGACUUAAUAGCAUAGAGAUGGUAUUUGAUGUCAUAAGACUACAAGGGAUCACCCAAAGGAGAGAGUGAGGAUGGAGAAAAUGAACUGAGCCAUGAGGAAAUCAACAUUGGAGGCUAGAAAAA
This is a long non-coding RNA of Cercocebus atys (sooty mangabey), 3898 nucleotides long. RefSeq lists it as uncharacterized. NCBI's taxonomy places the organism in Eukaryota, Metazoa, Chordata, Mammalia, Primates, Cercopithecidae. The transcript is spliced from 2 exons. The record is from RefSeq and is a predicted model, not a curated record.